GAUGAACGCUAGCGGCAGGCCUAACACAUGCAAGUCGAGGGGCAGCACAGGUAGCAAUACUGGGUGGCGACCGGCGGAUGGGUGCGUAACGCGUAUGCAACCUACCAUUGAUUGGGGCAUAGCCCGAAGAAAUUCGGAUUAAUACUCCAUAAUAUUCAUCAAAGGCAUCUUUUAUGAAUUAAAGCUUUUGCGAUCAAUGAUGGGCAUGCGUGACAUUAGUUAGUUGGUGAGGUAACGGCUCACCAAAACGAUGAUGUCUAGGGGUUCUGAGAGGAUUAUCCCCCAACUGGUACUGAGACACGGACCAGACUCCUACGGGAGGCAGCAGUGAGGAAUAUUGGUCAAUGGACGCAAGUCUGAACCAGCCAUGCCGCGUGCAGGAUGACGGCCCUAGGGUUGUAAACUGCUUUCCACGGGAAGAACCCUCCGACGUGUCGGAGACUGACGGUACCGUGGGAAUAAGCAUCGGCUAACUCCGUGCC
RNAcentral lists this ribosomal RNA (482 nucleotides) under uncultured bacterium. RNAcentral describes it as "bacterial SSU rRNA". It matches the Rfam family "Bacterial small subunit ribosomal RNA", at positions 28 to 509 of the family's 1533-position model. The record is from RNAcentral.